This is a small nuclear RNA of Hyla sarda, 193 nucleotides long. RefSeq annotates it as U2 spliceosomal RNA. The transcript has a single exon. The record is from RefSeq and is a predicted model, not a curated record. NCBI's taxonomy places the organism in Eukaryota, Metazoa, Chordata, Amphibia, Anura, Hylidae.
AUCGCUUCUCGGCCUUUUGGCUUAGAUCAAGUGUAAUAUCUGUUCUUAUCAGUUCAUGUCAGUACAUCGGGCACCAUUGAUGUGGGACUGGUGAGGAUGGGUGCUGCAUGGAGGGGACAGGUGUACUGGGGCGUUCCGGGGCUGGUUCUGAGGAAUCAGCUCAGCAGCUGCCCCGAUGUGACUUGUACUAUCC